RNAcentral lists this ribosomal RNA (497 nucleotides) under uncultured bacterium. Its description in RNAcentral is "partial 16S ribosomal RNA". It matches the Rfam family "Bacterial small subunit ribosomal RNA", at positions 28 to 507 of the family's 1533-position model. The record is from RNAcentral.
GAUGAACGCUGGCGGCGUGCCUAAUACAUGCAAGUCGAGCGAACGGACGCGGAGCUUGUUUUUCUGAUGUUAGCGGCGGACGGGUGAGUAACACGUGGAUACCCUACUUAUAAGACUGGGAUAACUUCGGGAAACCGGAGCUAAUACCGGAUAAUAUUUUGCACCGCGUGGUUGAAAAGUGAAAGACGGUCUUGCUGUCACUUAUAGAUGGUUCCGCGCGGCAUUAGCUAGUUGGUAAGGUAACGGCUUAUGAAGGCAACGAGGCAUAGGCGACUUGAGCGGGGGAUCGGCCACACUGGAACUGGGACACGCUCAAGGCUCCUAAGAUAGGCAGCAGUAGGGUACCUUCCGCAAUGGGCGGAAGCCUGACGGAGCAACGCCGCGUGAGUGAUGAAGGUCUUCGGAUCGUAAAACCCUGUUAUGAGGGAAGAACAUAUGUGUAAGUAACUGUGCACAUCUUGACGGUACCUAAUCAGAAAGCCACGGCUAACUACGUG